CUCUGGAUAAGAGCAUCAGCUAAACAGCUGAGAUGUAAAUGUUGAGAGUUCCUCAACAGAUGAUGAAGAGGAAGGGCCAAUGAUGUGAAGGCCCAGAUCCAUCAGAGUAUCAAUGUUCUUCCUCUCUCUCCUCCCCUCUCACUGCAGACAUGAACCACUGGCUGAGAAACAUCCUGAUUCUGACUCUCUGGCUAGAGUGUAAAGGAGAAGACAGAGUGACCCAGCCAGCAGGAGAUGUCAUUGCUGCUGAAGGAGACACAGUUACACUUGGCUGUACUUUUGAGACAAGUUACACAGGUCCAGCUUUGUUCUGGUACAAACAAGUAAAUGAGUCUCCUAAGUACAUGCUGAAAAGUUACUCAAAAACAACAGAUUUUUCUGCAGAGUUCACGAAAGACAGAUUUAAUGCUACAAUCAAGGAUAAGUCAGUUCCUCUGAAGAUCCAGAAGCUUCAGCUGUCUGACUCUGCUGUGUACUACUGUGCUCUGCAGCCCACAGUGACAGGAAACACCAAAACUCUGUACAAAAACCUUUGGAGCAAAGACAACAGAAUACUCCACA
Micropterus dolomieu (smallmouth bass) is the source of this 561-nucleotide non-coding RNA. The record is from the annotation of a RefSeq genome assembly. Lineage: Eukaryota; Metazoa; Chordata; Actinopteri; Centrarchiformes; Centrarchidae.